Non-coding RNA from Caenorhabditis elegans, 21 nucleotides. NCBI's taxonomy places the organism in Eukaryota, Metazoa, Nematoda, Chromadorea, Rhabditida, Rhabditidae. The record is from Ensembl.
UGAUUCCUUCAUAUCAGUGAU